Molecule: long non-coding RNA, 1602 nt
Organism: Apis laboriosa (Himalayan honeybee)
Lineage: Eukaryota; Metazoa; Arthropoda; Insecta; Hymenoptera; Apidae
Exons: 6
Source: RefSeq, a predicted model, not a curated record
AGACACUGUGAGAAUGAAUUAUGAAAAAGUUUCCAAGUAAACACGAUCGAAAUCAUGUACACACUAUGAUUAUCAUUACCGAUCGUAAAAUGUUAAAGAAUAGAUUGCAAAGUAUGCCAUUUGCUUCAUCCAACUUGAUUUCAUGAAGUAUAAACAUAUAUGCAUCUAUAUAUAUUCGAGGUGAUUACAAAACCAUGAAGUGAUUUGUGUGAGACAAUCAAGAAAUUUUUUCGAAGAUUAAUUAUUUAAAAGUGAAAUUUUCACUGAAUAACUUAUUUUAGAUCAGUGUUUUCCAAUCUUCUUAAUUUACGAAUUCUUUUUUUAGAAUAUCCAAAUAUUUUAUAAUUUUCUUAUAUUUUUAAUUGGAUAAAUUACAGGAUAGAGAUGUGAGAUUCGUAAAAAAAUGUAAAAGAAAAGUAACCAUAGAGAUUCUGAUUCGAAGUCUCAAGGAUACUUGAAGACGAAAAUGGCAAAGAAAUCGCAAACGGCAAUCACGGACUAAGUACUAACCUAAUCAACCAAUCUUCGUUCUGUUCUUCUGUUUCACUACUCCUCGAUUCUUUUACUCAAAGAAGGGAAAUGAUUCGCUACCCUCGAAUUAUUCUUUCUGUUACAAUUCUUCUUAUCAAAUGAAGUUUAAUAGUAAUUUCAACUAUAGAUCGGGAAGACCGGAAUCCUGUUUGGGGCUAUCGUUAAACAUCCGAUCGUGGUUCAUCCUAUUUGCUUCUCAUGCAAUCAUCCAUCUUUCAAAUCUCCUUUUGCAAUCUUCUCUUUUCGCCAGUUUUCUUCUCUUCUUUACGUGGGCCUUCAUACAUUGGCCCGCAGACGUCUCUUUCUCUCUUUUCCUCUAUUCCUUUCUCCUCCAUUGGCCCCUUUCUCGUAGUCACGAAUAUCGUUCCUUCAUAGUUCAUAUAUCAAACGCUUAGGAAAGGCGGCGACACAUAAAUACCCCGUACACGGGUAUAUAAAAGCCACCACCUCGAGAGGAUAUAUCCCACCAGAUCGGUCCACUCUUUCCCGAUUGGAAUGACUUAUGGGCAUGCGGCGUGCUUUUGGUCUCCGCAAGUCUAUCGCGGGAUUAUAGUGAGCCACGCAACUAUAAUAAUCAUUCUCGUGGCGAUUUUAUUUCUCUUCGAUAAUAUUGGAAUUUUGAUUAUGGAGUAUAUAAGUAAUCCAAGUUGCCUGGAGAGAAUUAAUGAUUAUAAGUAUAUUAGAUAUUGGAUUAAUCAUUAUUAUUAUAUCAAUUUUUUAAUUUAUUUUGGAAAUUAAUCUUUAAAAAUAGAUUCUCCAAAAAUUUCUUAUGAAUAUAUUAACAUCCUAUAUAUACGUAUCUGGUGCACAAGAGGUUUGGUAUAUCGUAUCCGAAAAAAAGCAUUCGUGAAGCGGUGGCCCGACAAUGGCGGCCAGUAAUAAAUUAUAAAUCGAAAAAAGGAGGAACAACAGCAACAAGAAGCGGCAACCGCGGCGAGUUACGGUUUCACGUUAAAUAUGAAAUAUUGCUAUCCAUGUCUCGAAAGUGCGCAUGUAUACAAGGUAGAAUGUGUAUAUGUAUACAUAUAAAAGUACGGUAUUAAGUAGCUGUUUAACAUAUUUUAAUUGCCA